GCUCUCUCUUGCUCUCUCACGGCUGGAGGUAGAAGAAGACACAAGACACAAGAAAUUCCGGGCCGGCGCACGAACGCCGCCAUGGGCGCACCAACGCCCUAAUCUUUUCUGUAUUCAGUUGGCUCAAACUCAUACAAGCAGUACACGGGGUGGUUGUAUAGGCGGAGCACGCAUGCCACGAUCCACUCCUGCCCACGCAAUGCCACGAUCCACUCCUGCCCACGCACGUCCACCAUGUGCUCCACUGCGCAUGCAUGAUCUGCUCGCCCGGCCGCGCGCAUGGCGCGCCACUACCCGCACUACACGGCCAGUUCCAACAGAUUGCCUGGCUCUCCGCUACUCUCGUCAACGGCCACACACCAGCUCCCACCUGAGCAAGAACAGAUACAAGUGCAGGCUCACGCACACACACGCGAUCAUGGUUUAGUGGCUAACAAUCUCCCCCUAAACCAUGACACUGUUGCCCAUCCUGACUUACAAGACACUGGCUCCUCGUCGACUGUCG
This 505-nucleotide long non-coding RNA is filed under the name Hordeum vulgare. Its description in RNAcentral is "long non-coding RNA (HVUL_LNC002900)". Lineage: Eukaryota; Viridiplantae; Streptophyta; Magnoliopsida; Poales; Poaceae. The record is from RNAcentral.